CAAUAGCGUAUAUUAAAGUUGUUGCAGUUAAAAAGCUCGUAGUUGGAUUUCUGGUUGAAGCGACCGGUCGGGCGUUGAUUCGUCUGCACUGGAGUCGGUUUUGGCCAUCCUCUAGGAAAGUGCGUCUGGUAUUAAGUUAUCGGGCGUAUGAUCCUGGUCUUUUACUGUGAAAAAAUUAGAGUGUUUAAAGCAGGCCUUCGCCUUGAAUACAUUAGCAUGGAAUAAUAGGAUAGGACUUUGGUCUAUUUUGUUGGUUUGCAGACCGAAGUAAUGAUUAAUAGGGAUAGUUGGGGGUAUUUAUAUUCCGAUGUCAGAGGUGAAAUUCUUAGAUUUUCGGAAGAUAAACUUAUGCGAAAGCAUUUACCAAGGAUGUUUUCAUUAA
Molecule: ribosomal RNA, 382 nt
Filed under: uncultured eukaryote
Lineage: Eukaryota
Description: partial 18S ribosomal RNA
Rfam family: Eukaryotic small subunit ribosomal RNA
Source: RNAcentral